UCCUACGGGAGGCAGCAGUGGGGAAUAUUGGACAAUGGGGGCAACCCUGAUCCAGCAAUGCCGCGUGGGUGAAGAAGGUUUUCGGAUUGUAAAGCCCUUUUGGCGGGGACGAUGAUGACGGUGCCCGCAGAAUAAGCUCCGGCUAACUUCGUGCCAGCAGCCGCGGUAAUACGAAGGGGGCUAGCGUUGCUCGGAAUGACUGGGCGUAAAGGGCGCGUAGGCGGCUUAUACAGUCAGGCGUGAAAUUCCUGGGCUCAACCUGGGGACUGCGUCUGAUACGUAUAGGCUUGAGUAUGGAAGAGGGUCGUGGAAUUUCCAGUGUAGAGGUGAAAUUCGUAGAUAUUGGAAAGAACACCGGUGGCGAAGGCGGCGACCUGGUCCAUUACUGACGCUGAGGCGCGAAAGCGUGGGGAGCAAACAGGAUUAGAUACCCUGGUAGUCCACGCUGUAAACGAUGUGUGCUGGAUGUUGGGGUGCUUAGCACUUCAGUGUCGUAGCUAACGCGGUAAGCACACCGCCUGGGGAGU
Molecule: ribosomal RNA, 527 nt
Filed under: uncultured bacterium
Lineage: Bacteria
Description: bacterial SSU rRNA
Rfam family: Bacterial small subunit ribosomal RNA
Source: RNAcentral